GGGCCAUCUGGCCGCAGCAUCUGUCACCCCAUUGAGAUCACCAGGGUUGAUUAGGCCAUCUGAUCUGGUUGGCGAGGCCUGUGUCCCACUGCUCCAAUGUGUGUCCCUCUGGAGGCUCCGUGCUCUGUGGAAGAGGAUGACUUUUCCCUGAAUGGAGGAGGACUGGUCUUAGGUCAAGGGUACAUGAGUAGCUGUGCUCACCUGCUAGAACCUCCAAACAAGCUCAAGGUCUAUGUUUUUUUGUUUGUCUGUUUGGUUUUUGUUUUUAAUAAAAAACUUUGAUUU
This 285-nucleotide small nuclear RNA is filed under the name Meriones unguiculatus (Mongolian gerbil). RNAcentral's name for it is "7SK RNA (ENSMUGG00000005909.1)". It matches the Rfam family "7SK RNA". From Rfam's summary of the family: 7SK was discovered as an abundant small nuclear RNA in the mid-70s but a possible function has only recently been suggested. Two independent studies have found that 7SK RNA binds the CDK9/cyclin T complex (known as elongation factor P-TEFb). The record is from RNAcentral. Lineage: Eukaryota; Metazoa; Chordata; Mammalia; Rodentia; Muridae.